UGGUCAGGUAGAGAAUACCAAGGCGCUUGAGAGAACUCGGGUGAAGGAACUAGGCAAAAUGGUGCCGUAACUUCGGGAGAAGGCACGCUGGUGUGUAGGUGAAGUCCCUGCGGAUGGAGCUGAGACCAGUCGAAGAUACCAGCUGGCUGCAACUGUUUAUUAAAAACACAGCACUGUGCAAACACGAAAGUGGACGUAUACGGUGUGACGCCUGCCCG
RNAcentral lists this ribosomal RNA (218 nucleotides) under Klebsiella pneumoniae. RNAcentral describes it as "partial 23S ribosomal RNA". It matches the Rfam family "Bacterial large subunit ribosomal RNA", at positions 1664 to 1865 of the family's 2925-position model. The record is from RNAcentral. Lineage: Bacteria; Pseudomonadati; Pseudomonadota; Gammaproteobacteria; Enterobacterales; Enterobacteriaceae.